This 465-nucleotide ribosomal RNA is filed under the name uncultured bacterium. RNAcentral's name for it is "partial 16S ribosomal RNA". It matches the Rfam family "Bacterial small subunit ribosomal RNA", at positions 338 to 795 of the family's 1533-position model. The record is from RNAcentral.
CCUACGGGUGGCAGCAGUAGGGAAUCUUGCACAAUGGGCGCAAGCCUGAUGGAGCAACACCGCGUGAGUGAAGAAGGGUUUCGGCUCGUAAAGCUCUGUUGUAGGAGAAGAACGUGCGUGAGAGUAACUGUUCACGCAGUGACGGUAUCCAACCAGAAAGUCACGGCUAACUACGUGCCAGCAGCGGCGGGAAUACGUAGGGGGCAAGCGUUAUCCGGAUUUAUUGGGCGUAAGGCGAGCGCAGGCGGUUGGUUAGGUCUGAUGUGAAAGCCGUCGGCUUAACCGUAGAAGUGCAUCGGAAACCGGGCGACUUGAGUGCAGGAGAGGACAGUGGAACUCCUUGUGUAGCGGUGGAAUGCGUAGAUAUAUGGAAGAACACCAGUGGCGAAGGCGGCUGUCUGGUCUGCAACUGACGCUGAGGCUCGAAAGCGUGGGUAGCGAACAGGAUUAGAUACCCGAGUAGUC